This 459-nucleotide ribosomal RNA is filed under the name uncultured bacterium. RNAcentral's name for it is "partial 16S ribosomal RNA". It matches the Rfam family "Bacterial small subunit ribosomal RNA", at positions 338 to 795 of the family's 1533-position model. The record is from RNAcentral.
CCUACGGGAGGCAGCAGUGAGGAAUAUUGGUCAAUGGCCGAGAGGCUGAACCAGCCAAGUCGCGUGAGGGAAGAAUGUCCUAUGGAUUGUAAACCUCUUUUGUCAGGGAGCAAAGUCACCCACGUUUGGGUGUUGGAGAGUACCUGAGGAAAAAGCAUCGGCUAACUCCGUGCCAGCAGCCGCGGUAAUACGGAGGAUGCGAGCGUUAUCCGGAUUUAUUGGGUUUAAAGGGUGCUUAGGGGGGUUAUCAAGUCAGCGGUAAAAUCGUGGAGCAAAACUCUAUAGAGCCGUUGAUACUGAUGAGCUUGAGUGCGCGAGAGGUAUGAGGAAUGCGUGGUGUAGCGGUGAAAUGCAUAGAUAUCACGCAGAACUCCGAUUGCGAAGGCAGCAUACCGGCGCGCGACUGACGCUGAAGCACGAAAGCGUGGGUAUCGAACAGGAUUAGAUACCCUUGUAGUC